RNAcentral lists this ribosomal RNA (498 nucleotides) under uncultured bacterium. Its description in RNAcentral is "partial 16S ribosomal RNA". It matches the Rfam family "Bacterial small subunit ribosomal RNA", at positions 899 to 1397 of the family's 1533-position model. The record is from RNAcentral.
ACUCAAAUGAAUUGACGGGGGCCCGCACAAGCGGAGGAGCAUGUGGUUUAAUUCGAUGAUACGCGAGGAACCUUACCAGGGCUUGAAAGACAGGAGACCGUAGCGGAAACGUUACUUUUCUUCGGAACUGCUGUCUAGGUGCUGCAUGGCUGUCGUCAGCUCGUGCCGUGAGGUGUCGGGUUAAGUCCCAUAACGAGCGCAACCCCUAUCACUAGUUGCCAACAGGUAAUGCUGGGGACUCUAGUGAAACUGCCCGCGCAAGCGGUGAGGAAGGCGGGGAUGACGUCAAGUCAGCACGGCCCUUACGUCCUGGGCUACACACGUGCUACAAUGGUAGGUACAGAGGGCAGCUACACCGCGAGGUGAUGCAAAUCUCCAAAACCUAUCUCAGUUCGGAUCGAAGUCUGCAACUCGACUUCGUGAAGCUGGAUUCGCUAGUAAUCGCAUAUCAGCAAUGAUGCGGUGAAUACGUUCCCGGGCCUUGUACACACCGCCCGU